UAAGGAAUAUUGCUCAAUGGGAGAAAUCCUGAAGCAGCAACGCCGCGUGGAGGAUGAAGGGUCUAUGACUUGUAAACUCCUGUAAAGAAGGAAAAAAUUCCCAUUUGAUGGGAGAUGAUGGUACUUCUGGAGUAAGCCCCGGCUAACUACGUGCCAGCAGCCGCGGUAAUACGUAGGGGGCAAGCGUUGUCCGGAUUUACUGGGUGUAAAGGGUGCUCAGGCGGAUUUGUAAGUCAGAGGUGAAAUCUUACAGCUUAACUGUGAAACUGCCUUUGAUACUGCAAGCCUAGAGUAUGGAAGAGAGUGAUGGAAUAUCUGAUGUAGCAGUGAAAUGCAUAGAUAUCAGAUAGAACACCGAUGGCGAAGGCAGUCACUUGGUCCAUUACUGACGCUAAAGCACGAAAGCGUGGGUAGCAAACA
This 420-nucleotide ribosomal RNA is filed under the name uncultured bacterium. Its description in RNAcentral is "bacterial SSU rRNA". It matches the Rfam family "Bacterial small subunit ribosomal RNA", at positions 355 to 774 of the family's 1533-position model. The record is from RNAcentral.